GCCUGGGUGGCUCAGUCAGUUAAGCGUCUGACUUCGGCUCAGGUCAUGAUCUCAUGGUCCGUGGGUUCGAGCCCCACGUUGGGCU
This 85-nucleotide transfer RNA is filed under the name Felis catus (domestic cat). It matches the Rfam family "tRNA". Rfam says of the family: Transfer RNA (tRNA) molecules are approximately 80 nucleotides in length. Their secondary structure includes four short double-helical elements and three loops (D, anti-codon, and T loops). Further hydrogen bonds mediate the characteristic L-shaped molecular structure. tRNAs have two regions of fundamental functional importance: the anti-codon, which is responsible for specific mRNA codon recognition, and the 3' end, to which the tRNAs corresponding amino acid is attached (by aminoacyl-tRNA synthetases). tRNAs cope with the degeneracy of the genetic code in two manners: having more than one tRNA (with a specific anti-codon) for a particular amino acid; and 'wobble' base-pairing, i.e. permitting non-standard base-pairing at the 3rd anti-codon position. The record is from Rfam by way of RNAcentral. Lineage: Eukaryota; Metazoa; Chordata; Mammalia; Carnivora; Felidae.